AAAUGUAAUUUUUAUCGCUAAAAUAUUUAGGUGCCCGCAAACAUAUUUUGAAUUGCUUAUCUGUUACUAUAUGCAGAAGAUUAUUAUAGAAUGGAACAAAUUUUUGUGGCCAAAGAAAAUCCAGUUCCGUCGAUAUCCCUAAAAACGAAUGGAUUGACUAUAAAUAAUAGUACUAGAAAACAAAAUGCCAGAAAAUUAGUACUGGGAAAACUGGAUAAUAUGCUGCGUCAGAACCAAACUCCAUUUAACGUCGAUACCUUAUCAUGCCCUAAGAGCUUUGCAAAAUUACCACUUCAGUAUUGCCAUAGACAUAAUGAACGUGGAGAAGUCAAUCUGAAAUGUACACCUAGUUACUUGGGUCUCUACUCUUUGAAAAAUGAAGUCUGUUUCCAGAGUGCCUAUGAAAAUUUAUUUGAUUAUAUGGACUUUUCAAAUACGAAGUGUUUGAAUAAAUGCUGGAGACAGCAGUCAUAACUUAAAAAUCGCAGAUUUUGAGCUCAUUCGGUGGCAGAUAUGUCCGUUUUUCAAACCAUCCCGAGCCCACAAUACCAGUCUCUAACGGCGUGGCUUCCAGACUAUCCCGAGGCCCCGAAGAAGUUAAGGCCCCUUCGAGUACCAAGUCACGACUUCUCAGAAGGGCAUGAAAUCUCAAUUACCGAAAUAUGGUUGGACAAUGAAUCUGGUGAUGAUAUAUUUACUGAAAAAUUUUUAAAUAAUCUGGGCAGCUUGAUAGAAGAUUUGGGAAAUGAGUGUUUUAUCUCAAUACGCAAUGUUUUUUGUGAAAACCUUGACAAUUGGUCUCAAUUAGAUGAUACUGAUAACACUGGGACUGAACACGGCGAGUAUACAUUGGAUUCACAGAUGACGAUGCCCAAUUUAGAUGAUAUAGAUAUACCAUUUUAGACAAGAUAAAAUAAAGCACUCUCAGGUUUAAUGGCGCGUCCACCCCUUAUAAAAUUAAUAGAUUAAAUUUUUAAUUAACAUUGCUUUGUUUUUUGCUGUGCGCAGUACAUAAGUUAAAACCCUAAAAAAUUAUAUUUGCAUCAUAUUAUAAAAACCGAUAUA
This is an RNA transcript of Drosophila obscura, 1065 nucleotides long. RefSeq lists it as uncharacterized. The transcript is spliced from 4 exons. The record is from RefSeq and is a predicted model, not a curated record. Lineage: Eukaryota; Metazoa; Arthropoda; Insecta; Diptera; Drosophilidae.